This 253-nucleotide ribosomal RNA is filed under the name uncultured bacterium. RNAcentral's name for it is "partial 16S ribosomal RNA". It matches the Rfam family "Bacterial small subunit ribosomal RNA", at positions 524 to 776 of the family's 1533-position model. The record is from RNAcentral.
UACGAAGGGGGCGAGCGUUGUUCGGAAUCACUGGGCGUAAAGCGCACGUAGGCGGACUCUUAAGUCGGUGGUGAAAUCCUGGAGCUCAACUCCAGAACUGCCCUUGAUACUGGCGGUCUCGAGUCCGGGAGAGGUGAGUGGAACUGCGAGUGUAGAGGUGAAAUUCGUAGAUAUUCGCAAGAACACCAGUGGCGAAGGCGGCUCACUGGCCCGGUACUGACGCUGAGGUGCGAAAGCUCGGGGAGCGAACGGG